GUCCCUCCCUCACCCCCCACACCACCUCUAUUCUUGUACAUAGCCUUGUCACCUCCCGUAUUGAUUACUGUAACUCUCUCCUCUUUGGUCUCCCCCAGAAAUCCCUCCAUAAGCUCCCACUGGUCCAGAACUCAGCUGCCCGUAUCAUCUCCCAAACCCCCUCUUUCCACCACAUCACCCCCAUCCUAGAACAACUCCACUGGCUUCCAAUCAACUUCCGUAUCAACUUCAAAAUUCUCCUUCAUACCUUUAAAGCCAUCCACAACCUUGCCCCUCCCUACCUGUCUGAUCUCCUUCACACUGCCACCUCCACCCGCUCCCUCAGAUCCUCCUCUUCCAUCCACCUCACUGUCCCCUCUGCCCGGCUCACCACCAUGGGGAGCAGAGCUUUCAGCCGCUCUGCUCCCAAACUCUGGAACUCACUCCCACCUCACAUCCGAAAUAUUGACUCCCUCCCUCAGUUCAAAUCCUCUCUCAAAACCCACCUUUUCAGGAUAGCAUUUUCACUGUAGUUGUCAUGUUUUUUACUUGCACUUUUAAUGGUUUUGUUAUUUGUUUGCCCUUGUUUUAAAUUGUUUUAAAUUUGUAAAGUGUCCUUGAGUGACCUGAAAGGCGCUGUUAAAUAAAAUGUAUUAUUAUUAUUAUUAUUAAAAACAUUUCCACGUUUUUUGGACGUUAAAGGACUAGUAAGUCAUACAUUUUACAUUUUCAACUAGUUUUCUAGUCUUUUAUCAUUGUUUUGCUCACUUUGAUGGUAGCAGUUAAAUAUGUGAUCAUUGGUCAUCCCGGUCUCCUGGUAUUUCCCAUAUUGCUCAAAAUUACCUCUUUGUAUCAUAAAAGGAAAUAUUUAGAGCCAAUCAGCCCAUAUCCCUGUUCUUUGAAACUUCAGGGUGCUGUUGGGAGCUAUAGGAAGGACAGCAUUUGGUGCAACGUAGACUAAAUGUAACACUUUUGUAUGAUAAACAGGUCAAUCAAGACUUCCUGCUGCUGUUUGGUGCUGAAACAGCCACCAAGUUGCUUGAAAAGUGGGACACCUCAUUCAAGCCAAAAGUCAUCAAAGAGGCCAAACAGCUGACUCCGUCAACUGACCUGUGUCAUUUGCUAAAAGCUGCAGAGAAGCUUGCAGAGAAUGAUGACAAUGACUGGGACAGUGACAUGGCUUCUGUGCUGCUACUGCUUCAUCUUUUGCCACCUUCAGCUGGACGGAAGAGGAGGACCAAAAUAAGUCCAAGGGAUGCAGCAGACAAAAUGGUGCACUUUCACAAGUCAUGCUGCAGCAUCGAUGAACACCUGCAAGAAAGAGAUGGCAAACCAUACAUCCUUGCAGUCGGCCGAACCCAGAGCAGGAUUGACACCUUUUACAUCGCAGUGGACAAACAACUCAUCCCCUGCCAAGCCACCAGCUCACUGGGUGCUUUUGAUGAACUUUUCAAAUCCCACUACGCGUUCAACUUAAAUUACGACGAGUCUCUGGUUCAUUUCUACAGUUUUGUGCAGACUACCAUUUUCAACAUUGACGCUACCUCAACAGACGAGUCACCGCGUGUUCGUGAGUUGCGUGCUACAAUUUUGAAUGAGAACAAUGUUUAAAUGUUUCAUCUGUCAAUCGCUGCAUAUCAGCAGUCAGGCUUUGAUAAGUCAUUUGCGACUAGGCCACAGUUUUUAUCCAAGCACCAAAUUUAAGUUGGCUUGUUCACAAGAAAGUUGUAGGCAUCAGUUCACGUCAUUUUCUGGUUUUAAAAAACAUUUAAAUAGUGUUCAUAAUGAAGAUUGUUGUCAAAGUGGUGAUGCAGAAACCUCAGAGUCAUUUCAGGAUGAUUUUUUCAUUCAGGAUGAAGUUGCGGAAACAAGUGUCACACAGAGCCUUGAGGCUGGUUGUUCUGAAAACAAUGGAUCUGGUCAAAGAAUGGAAGAAAAAACGAAAUCCAUUUUAACUACUAUUGUUGGUAAACUCAGUGGUAGUGAUUUGGCAAAUAGUUUUGUGACAUCACUUGUUAAUAAUUUGGAAGAAUUUGCUGAUGGACUGCACUGUCAGUUUAAGCAAAAAGUACUCUCCGUUGUGCCAAAAGAUAAUCCUGUAAGGUCUACAUUGGAAAAAUGUCUUGAGACUUUUGACAACCCAGUUGAGGGCUUUGAUACAGAAGCUAAAAGAAAGACAUAUUUCAGUGCAAAAUGGGGAAUUGUCGAGCCAGUGGAAAGAACUUUAGGAAUUCGUUAUGAUACAAGGUUAAAUAAAAAUACAGGAACUUAUGACCAGGUACCAGUGAAAGACACUUUUGUGUACAUUCCAAUUUUGGAAACCAUCAAAUUUAUCUGCCGCAAUACUUAUAUUUGCGAGCUGCUGGCUAAACCAAGUGUAUCAAAAAGAAGAACGAUAUGAUGACUUCUGUGAUGGAAGUUAUUUUAAGUCUCAUCCAUUGUUUUCAAAACAACCAAUAUCUUUGCAAAUUCAACUGUUUUACGAUGACUUUGAGACAGCUAAUCCACUUGGUUCCAAACGUGGGGUUCACAAAAUUAGUGCAAUGAACUUUGUCCUCAGAAAUCUGCCUCCAAAGUAAAAUUCUGCAUUGAUGAACAUUCAUUUGGUUUCAUUGUUUCAUGCAGAAGAUGUGAAAAAACAUGGCUUUGAUCCUAUUUUACAGCCACUGAUUGAUGACAUAAAAUUAUUGGAGCGUCAUGGCAUUGAUUUACCCUUCUCAUCUGAAAAGGUCCAUGGCACUAUAUGUCAGAUAACUGGGGACAACUUGGGGAUGCACACAAUUUUGGGUUUUGUAGAGUCUUUCAGUGGACGUCACUACUGUCUUUGUGUUUAAUUUCAAAAGAAGAUGCGCAGAGUGUGUAUACUGAGGAUGAUCCAAAGAUAGUCUUACGAGGGAAAGAGCUUUUUGAAAUGCACUGCAGAGAGUUGCAAUCCGAUCCUCAAAAGCUGCAUGUGUUUGGAUUAAAAAAAGAAUUCAACACUGAACAGUUUACAGUUCUUUCAUGUUUGCCAGACAUAAUGCACGACAUUCUUGAAGGGGUGGCACAGUAUGAGAUAAAGUUGCUCUUGGAAAAUCUUUCCGACAAUUUUCUGCCAAAACCUGCUCUUUUGUCACGGAUCUAUGCUUUUGAUUAUGGCUACUCAGAGCGCAAAAAUCGUCCAACAAGGGUGAACUUGGACAGUCCUGGCAAUAGUAUAGGCCUCAACUCCAUUCAGACUCUUUGUCUAAUAAGAAACGUUCCUUUAAUUUUUGGUGACAUUGUGCCAGAAGGAAAUCAGAACUGGACCUUGCUAUUGCUUUUACUACAAAUAAUUAUCAUCAUUUUCUCUCCAUCAGUUUCAAUUGGCAUGACUGUGCAUCUAAAGCAUUUAAUAAUGGAACACCAUUACUUGUUCAAACAGUUAUAUCCAGGGAGAAACCUGAUUCCCAAACACCACUUUAUGUUGCACUACCCUACUGGAAAAUUGGACCCUUAAUACAUGUAUGGGGUAUGAGAGGUGAGGCUAAACAUAGGGUAUUUAAAAACACCCUUAAAAACUUUAAAAACAUUACAGUGUCACUUGCCAAAAAACACCAAGCAUCAAUAGCAUACAAGUGGGAGACAUGUCCUUUUAACAAUGUUGAAUAUGGGCCCUUAAAAUUGUUCAAUGUUGAAGAUGAGGAAAUGAUCACCCAAGGCUUGCCUGCUGCAGAAGACACUUUCUCUGCUAACUGGGUUAUUAUUAAUGGGACCGAAUACAGAGCAGGAUUGGUCAUUUGCUGUGGUUCGAAACAUGACAUGCCUGUGUUUUGUAGUAUAAAAAAAAUUGUUUUGGUCAAUAGUGUCACCUUCUUUUUAGUUAACAAGCUUUUUGUUGAAAAGUUCAAUGAGCAUUGCCAUGCCUAUCAAGUCUUUGAAACCGAUGAAAACAAUGUUAUUAGAGCAGAUUCUAUUGAAAUUUACAAGCCCUUUGAUUUACAAAGUUCUUAUGGCAAUGACAAUGGACUUUACAUUGUGCCAUUAUUUUAUUUGUAAAAGUACAAUGUUUCGAUGGUGCUUGGAAUGUAUUAAAAUUGUAAUGUGAAUGGAAUGUAU
Gadus chalcogrammus (walleye pollock) is the source of this 4056-nucleotide long non-coding RNA. RefSeq lists it as uncharacterized. Lineage: Eukaryota; Metazoa; Chordata; Actinopteri; Gadiformes; Gadidae. The record is from RefSeq and is a predicted model, not a curated record. The transcript is spliced from 3 exons.